This is a long non-coding RNA of Arvicola amphibius (Eurasian water vole), 2802 nucleotides long. RefSeq lists it as uncharacterized. The record is from RefSeq and is a predicted model, not a curated record. Lineage: Eukaryota; Metazoa; Chordata; Mammalia; Rodentia; Cricetidae. The transcript has 3 exons.
GGUUUCAGAAUUCCAAACGCUCCUUUGAAAAACUGUGGUGUCUCUUUAAGAGCCAUUUGGUGCAUUUCAUAGCCUGAUUCAUGUCACCAGCUGCCCCUGAUUUCAGUGAGAAAUGAAGAAUUUAUAGGGAACUGUAAAAUGGGGACAGGUUUUUAGUUUUCUAAAUUGAGGUUUAACUGGCAAACUUCUGAAGGCUCAAGAAACCCCGAGUCUAGCUGUGGGGGAACUGGUUUCUUUUCUGUUUAGAAGAAAUAAACACACAAACACAUUAUCUAACUCUUAAUGUGUUGUGAGAAAGAAAGCACUGCUCUCUGCUGAGUGGGAAAAUGAAGAAUCAGCCUUGUGGGCAAGAGGAGGAGGAGGAGGAUCACAUUGGCCAGUAGGCAGCACCCUGUGCUGGCAGAGGGAGAAAUCUGAGCCUCAGCCGCGCCGCGCCACGAACGGGCUUUGUACAAACUAUCUGGUUUCAAGUUGCAAGACUCCGGGAGUCUCUGGGAAGGUGCCCCAGAGACAGGGCGCCCUUUGCGGGGACCCUGAGGAUUGGUGAGAAUCCCCCAUCCCCAGCCACCCAGAGGGCAAGCAGGCUCACCCUCAUACAGGACAAUGUUCUCAGACCUUCUCUGAGGAGACACGUGAACCCCUCUGCAUGAUUUUCUAGAGCCCUGCUGUCUACUGCACAGGUCUGGGAUGGACGUCAGAGGAUGAUCUUGAUGGAACUGGAGCAAGGCCGGAGCAGCAGAACUGCUUAGCAACCCAGGGAACUGGAUGGCACAUAGCUAGUUCCCCCUCCUAAACCCUAAACAUGCUUCUCAUGUGUCCGGGGCCAGCCUCAACAAAAAUACCUUUCUUCCAGAGUGGAGGCAUGGGAAUUUAGAAAUACAGUAAAGAAUACAAAGACACGAACAAAAAUAAUAAAACGCAGAAAAACAUAGGAUAGUAUUGGGAGGAAAUUUCAGUGAGUACUGAAAAUUCAUCCCUGUUUAAUUUCCAACAGCUUAAUAUACCCCUGAUUUCAAAAGGUAGGAGGAGAACAAAAGGACUGCACUAAUAUACAAAUUGAAAGUCAUGGGGGUCCAUUCACUGCUCUUGCUCUUGACUCACGCCCUAAACACUCUGUAGGCAAACCACUCCCUGGGUGGAAUCCCAAGUUACUUCCAUAAAAAGAACUAGAACCUAGUUGGAUCCUUAGACUUUUGUUUUGUAGGAACCAACUACUUCCCUAUUUCAGGAUCAGGAGGUCUGACAACUAGCCACACCUGUUUACAGUAGCCUUGAGAGAGGAGAACUCUGAUUUACUUCUAGGUAAAUAGUUGUUUACCUCUGUUUGAGUUAGAGGCACAAUAAUCUCGAACUAAAAACAAGUCCUGAGUUCUCUGACCUUUGGCCUCUUUGGGCCUCCAAACUCACGUAGUCAGAAAUAGCUGUAAAUAUGAUAAACGUGUGUUUGAAGCUGCAGCUUGUUAUAGUCUGUUCAUGGUAUUUGUUGGUUAUUGUAUAUAAGCAUGUGGACAGCUGGUGUCACAGUCCCAGCUCCCCAGGAAGGAGAGGCAGGAAGACCACAUGAGCACAAGCGUUCGACGCCAUCCUGGACAGCGCAGUGAGACAUUGCCCUUGAAAACAUUACAAAAUACAGAAACAAAAUCUAACAGUUGCUUGGAUUUAGAAAACCCAUUGCUUAUAAAAGAAUUUCCUUCCGAGAUAAAUCUAAGCAGCGUCCACCUACGCAUGCGUCCAGUUUUCCAUGAGCUGUUUAUAAACCACAUGCAAUCUAAUAAUGCUGUGGAUGUAUGAGGAGGCAAUAAAAUCCCGAGAGGUUUAGUCCGGACCCAGCUUGGCUGAAGAACAUAGUGCAAAUAAACAAAUUUGACUAUCGUCCCCCUUCAGGCUUAAUGUCGUCAGUCCCCAGGCCUCCCGCAGCCCCAACCAAGUGUUUAUACACUGUCACUCUACAGUGUCCGUGUAUACUAAGUGCAUGCAGAGAUGCUAUCAUCACUGGCUUCGGAGCCCUCUCCUUUCCCCACACUGCCCCCUCUUCUGUGCAUUCCUUUAGCCCAGCAAACUUCUGGCCUGCUUUCUGUCUCUCUAUUGUUUGGCUUUUCUAGAAAUUUCAUAUAAAUGAAACCAUACAACACUUGUCUUUGAUGUUUAGCUUCUUCAAUUAAAAUACUGCCUGCAAAGACAGUCCCGGUUUUACAAGUAUGUGUAAUUCAUUCUUUAUCUUUAGAUCUUCACUUCGGGGGCAAGCCACUUUAAACCAAUUCUGUCUACCAGGUAAAGUGUGGAAGUUUCCAGAUUUGUUAUUGGUGGGCUUACAAUUCCCCCACUAUAGCUUACAUGGACUGUCCUUCUCCCCUUGAAGCCUUGCAGACUCUACGAUCUUCUGUACUGAUUUAUCUGUUCUAUAGGAAGGGUAAGUGUUGGUUCCUGAAACUUCCCUAGCCAUCACUCAGUGUACACAGUACUGAAUGACUAUGUAAAAUGGAUUUCUCAUUAAGAUCCAAGUAAAAAUAUUUCUUAGAAAGCAUUUAUUUAGGCAGUGCCAACUAAUAUUCAUAAUAAGUCACUAAAGACUCCUACAAUAAAUUAAUAGUCUAUUUGGGUCCAUAAAUCCUGGGAUCUAGUAAGACACUCUGCAGAAGACAAGGAUGAGACCCCGGGGAGAAAGUUAACUUUCUGACGCUAAACAGGAAGCAAGCCUGAUGCUGGCCUGGUAACCCCCAUUUUCCUCUGCACCAGAAACUGAAAUGGAUUAUUCAGGAGGGAGUGGGCAUGGCUUGUCUCUUAAAGAGACAGAGCAGAUCA